GUCGCCAUGUGAUCCCAGGAAGAGAGGACGCUUAAGGCCGGUGUCCUCGGUUGGCUGGAGAGAAUCCUGAGACUGAGUCUUCCUGUCCUCAAUGUGACUGAAGAAUGAAUGCCAGCUCUGAGACCCUGUUUCUGUCUUAAAUACAUCUCAUGAGUCCUGGGAUGAAAGGCAUGUGAUCCCAGAGCCUUCAUCCAGCAGCUGAUGGAAGCAGAAGCAGAGAUCCACAGCUGAACACCAAGCAGAACUCCAGGAAUCCAGUGGCAGAGAGGGAAGAGUGAUGAGCAAAGGGGUCAGGACCAGACUGGAGAAACCCAUGGAAACAGCUGACCUGAACAAGGUGUUGCUCAUGGACCCUAGACUGAUAGCUGGGAAACCAGCAUAGGACUGUUCCAAACCCCCUGAGUGUGGAUGUCAGUUUGGAGGUCUGGGCAAUCUAUGGGGUCUCUGGUAGUGGAUCAGUAUUUAAUCCCUUGUGUAUGAAUGGACUUUGGGAGCCCAUUCCACAUAGAGGGGUACUCUCUCAGCCUAGACACACAGGGGAGGGUCUAGGCCCUGCUCCAAAUGAUGUGACAGACUUUGAAGGUCUCCCAUGGAAGGCCUCACCCUACAUGGGGAGCCCGAAGGAGGUUGGGAUGGAGGGGGCAGGGGAGGAAGGGAGGGAGAGGGAUUUGGGAUUGAAGUGUAAAAGAAGCUUGUUUCUAAUAAAAGAAAG
RNAcentral lists this long non-coding RNA (712 nucleotides) under Cricetulus griseus (Chinese hamster). RNAcentral describes it as "lncRNA (ENSCGRG00015034724.1)". Lineage: Eukaryota; Metazoa; Chordata; Mammalia; Rodentia; Cricetidae. The record is from RNAcentral.